GUUACUGCUAUCGGAGUUCGAUUAAGCCAUGCGAGUCUAAAGGUUUCUUCGGAAACCUUGGCGGACUGCUCAGUAACAUGUGGAUAACCUACCCUUAGGACUGGGAUAACCCCGGGAAACUGGGGAUAAUACCGGAUAGAUCAAGGAUCGCUGGAAUGCGCCUUGAUCCAAAGCUCCGGCGCCUAAGGAUGGGUCUGCGGCCUAUCAGGUUGUAGUGGGUGUAACGUACCUACUAGCCGGCGACGGGUACGGGUUGUGAGAGCAAGAGCCCGGAGAUGGAUUCUGAGACACGAAUCCAGGCCCUACGGGGUGCAGCAGGCGCGAAACCUUUACAAUGUGCGAAAGCAUGAUAAGGGAACUCCGAGUGCCAGCAUCUAAUGUUGGCUGUCCUUGUGCCUAAAACGCACGAGAUAGCAAGGGCCGGGUAAGACCGGUGCCAGCCGCCGCGGUAACACCGGCGGCCCGAGUGGUAGCCGCUAUUAUUGGGCCUUAAGGGUCCGUAGCCGGUUCGGUAAGUCCUCUGGGAGAUCUGGUUGCUUAACAAUCAGGCUGCCAAGGGAUACUGCCGAACUUGAGACCGGGAGAGGUAAGAGGUACUUCAGGGGUAGGAGUGAAAUCUUGUAAUCCCUGGGGGACCGUCUGUGGCGAAGGCGUCUUACCAGAACGGGUCUGACGGUGAGGGACGAAAGCUGGGGGCGCGAACCGGAUUAGAUACCCGGGUAGUCCCAGCCGUAAACGAUGCUCGCUAUGUGUCAGGUAUGGUGCGACCAUAUCUGGUGCCGUAGGGAAGCCGUGAAGCGAGCCACCUGGGAAGUACGGCCGCAAGGCUGAAACUUAAAGGAAUUGGCGGGGGAGCACUACAACGGGUGGAGCCUGCGGUUUAAUUGGAUUCAACGCCGGA
RNAcentral lists this ribosomal RNA (901 nucleotides) under uncultured archaeon. RNAcentral's name for it is "bacterial SSU rRNA". It matches the Rfam family "Archaeal small subunit ribosomal RNA", at positions 23 to 922 of the family's 1478-position model. The record is from RNAcentral.